UGCACUAAUUGUAUAAAUACGCUAAAACUGCUCAACUUAUACAUAUACAUAACUCUGUCUGUCUCAUAAAAUGAGACCUUUUCUUCUCUUUCAUCAUAAUACUUUUUGACUCAAUAGAUUUCCCCUAGCGAGCGUUUCUUGAAAAUGCAAUGGAAUACAGAAUUCUCUCAAGAACUAUUUGGCUUAACUAACUACAAAUAUGUUAAUGAUUUCUUAUUUUAUGAGGCUCGGUACUAAACUACAGUGACAUCUACAGGUAGAUUUUAUACAUAAUUUCGAAUUAAAAAUUUUAAAUUAUGUCAAAGGCAAUUAUUUUAGAAAAAUUCAUCAUUUUGAGUUUUAAUAUAAGAUAUUCAUGCCAUGGAGGUUACAAAAUUUACGUAGGUUAACGUAAGACCUUCGGAACAUUUAACAAACGGAUCUUCCUGCAGUUAAAUUUGCAUAGCCAGUCGUUCAUGCGUCGACACAGUCACGUAUUCAUGCAUACACGAGUUGAGUGUCAAUUUCUACCGGUGUUACAUAACAAUUACUGCACCACGACCGAUAUCAUCGUGUUUCAUGCAUCCAUGAAAAUUUAUCCAAGUAUUGGUACUUAUUAAGGCACGUUAUUUAGUAUAAUUAUUCAAUUACCAUAUAGAAAAAUAAGCUUUUUUUGUAAAGAAAGUGUCCGUUAUUAAAGAA
Bombus impatiens (common eastern bumble bee) is the source of this 681-nucleotide long non-coding RNA. RefSeq lists it as uncharacterized. The transcript is spliced from 3 exons. The record is from RefSeq and is a predicted model, not a curated record. Lineage: Eukaryota; Metazoa; Arthropoda; Insecta; Hymenoptera; Apidae.